AGAGUGUGUGCGGCCCCGCUGCGAACCGGUAGUAAAGAAUCAACAUUUCAUUAAGGAAGGAGAACAGCCAAUGGAUGCUCUUUCAAAAACAGGAGCAAAAUGUGGUGGUAUCCGAUAAGAAGUAAAACAGCCUGGUGCAUGACAUCAUUAGCCCAAGAUAUGGAUGUUGCUGAGAGGUGGUAUUAAGCCGGUUCAGACCAGUUCGCCUGAACCGGUAGCGGAAAUCAUGGGUGGGCCUGUCCCGGCUCUAUGCCAUCCUCUUUAGGCAUGGAAGGCAUGUGCACAAGCAAGGCACAUGUGUGGAAGGCCAGGCGCAUGUGUGUGAACAUAGUGAACAUAAUGUGAAACCCACUGCUGAUGUUGC
This is a non-coding RNA of Pantherophis guttatus, 364 nucleotides long. The record is from RefSeq and is a predicted model, not a curated record. NCBI's taxonomy places the organism in Eukaryota, Metazoa, Chordata, Lepidosauria, Squamata, Colubridae.